This 187-nucleotide ribosomal RNA is filed under the name Streptomyces scopuliridis RB72. RNAcentral's name for it is "partial 23S ribosomal RNA". It matches the Rfam family "Bacterial large subunit ribosomal RNA", at positions 2746 to 2925 of the family's 2925-position model. Lineage: Bacteria; Bacillati; Actinomycetota; Actinomycetes; Kitasatosporales; Streptomycetaceae. The record is from RNAcentral.
UGGCUACGUUCGGAAAGGAUAACCGCUGAAAGCAUCUAAGCGGGAAGCCUGCUUCGAGAUGAGGACUCCCACCUCCUUUGAGGGGUUAAGGCUCCCAGUAGACGACUGGGUUGAUAGGCCGGAUAUGGAAGCCAGGUGACUGGUGGAGUUGACCGGUACUAAUAGGCCGAGGGCUUGUCCUCAGUUG